This 731-nucleotide ribosomal RNA is filed under the name Lysinibacillus sphaericus. RNAcentral describes it as "bacterial SSU rRNA". It matches the Rfam family "Bacterial small subunit ribosomal RNA", at positions 51 to 763 of the family's 1533-position model. The record is from RNAcentral. Lineage: Bacteria; Bacillati; Bacillota; Bacilli; Caryophanales; Bacillaceae.
AUACAUGCAAGUCGAGCGAACAGAGAAGGAGCUUGCUCCUUUGACGUUAGCGGCGGACGGGUGAGUAACACGUGGGCAACCUACCCUAUAGUUUGGGAUAACUCCGGGAAACCGGGGCUAAUACCGAAUAAUCUAUUGUCCCUCAUGGGACAAUACUGAAAGACGGUUUCGGCUGUCGCUAUAGGAUGGGCCCGCGGCGCAUUAGCUAGUUGGUGAGGUAACGGCUCACCAAGGCGACGAUGCGUAGCCGACCUGAGAGGGUGAUCGGCCACACUGGGACUGAGACACGGCCCAGACUCCUACGGGAGGCAGCAGUAGGGAAUCUUCCACAAUGGGCGAAAGCCUGAUGGAGCAACGCCGCGUGAGUGAAGAAGGAUUUCGGUUCGUAAAACUCUGUUGUAAGGGAAGAACAAGUACAGUAGUAACUGGCUGUACCUUGACGGUACCUUAUUAGAAAGCCACGGCUAACUACGUGCCAGCAGCCGCGGUAAUACGUAGGUGGCAAGCGUUGUCCGGAAUUAUUGGGCGUAAAGCGCGCGCAGGUGGUUUCUUAAGUCUGAUGUGAAAGCCCACGGCUCAACCGUGGAGGGUCAUUGGAAACUGGGAGACUUGAGUGCAGAAGAGGAUAGUGGAAUUCCAAGUGUAGCGGUGAAAUGCGUAGAGAUUUGGAGGAACACCAGUGGCGAAGGCGACUAUCUGGUCUGUAACUGACACUGAGGCGCGAAAGCGUG